Molecule: ribosomal RNA, 403 nt
Filed under: Fusobacteriota bacterium
Lineage: Bacteria; Fusobacteriati; Fusobacteriota
Description: Fusobacteria bacterium partial 16S ribosomal RNA
Rfam family: Bacterial small subunit ribosomal RNA
Source: RNAcentral
UGGGGAAUAUUGCACAAUGGAGGGAACUCUGAUGCAGCGACGCCGCGUGAACGAAGAAGGCUUUCGAGUCGUAAAGUUCUUUUAUAUGGGAAGAUAAUGACGGUCCCAUAAGAAAAAGCCCCGGCUAACUACGUGCCAGCAGCCGCGGUAAUACGUAGGGGGCUAGCGUUGUCCGGAAUCACUGGGCGUAAAGGGUUCGCAGGCGGAAAUGCAAGUCAGGUGUAAAAGGCAGUAGCUUAACUACUGUAAGCAUUUGAAACUGCAUAUCUUGAGAAGAGUAGAGGUAAGUUGAAUUUUUAGUGUAGCAGUGUAAUGCGUAGAUAUUAGAAAGAAUAACGGUGGCGAAGGCGACUUACUGGGCUCAUUCUGACGCUGAGGAACGAAAGCGUGGGUAGAAAACAGG